Molecule: unclassified non-coding RNA, 200 nt
Filed under: Hevea brasiliensis (rubber tree)
Lineage: Eukaryota; Viridiplantae; Streptophyta; Magnoliopsida; Malpighiales; Euphorbiaceae
Source: RNAcentral
UGGUUACGGGCGUAUAGCUGAGCGAGACCGAGGAUGAUCCGCUGUUUCCGACGUGCGCGAUAGGUCCAGUUAUUUCGAUGUGAACCUCUCCGGUCUCGUUCGUUCUGAUCGAGAUUCUGUCGACGAGGCGNNNNNNNNNAUGUAGCCACGGUCUGAGCCAAUUCUGCUCCGCAGCCGCGGUAAUUGCGGCCAGGCACCAG